UACUACAGCCGCGACUGGCAACACUUUCUCUUCGAACCAAAUGACAGCCAACGUCAUGAAUAUGACACAUGAAAGCCAUCUUUGUAAACAUUACGAACAACGUGAUAGUGCGGUUAAACGAAUUGUUUCUUAAAAGUUAAUUUCGAAGCUUAUUACAAACAAAGCUUAAAUACCGCGAAUCCGUGAGAUUAGUCCGAUUCAUAGUGCGUGAAUUUGCGCUAACAUACAGCUUGAGUGGUCGUUAAGCAAGGAAUAGACUCCAAGGAGCUCACUAAAUUCGAUUAAAAUCGAGGGAACACUAUUUUCUUGAAGCGCUUAAUAAAACUUGCUAUCAAGAAGAGUGUUUGCCUGUGUAGUUCUUCGAGAACACUAUCAAAAGAUAGAUAUAAGAUUAAAGUAGAGAUUGAUAUAUAGAAGAAGAAAAUAGCGAUUGAUAGAUCGAAGAGGAAAGAUUGGUAGAUAGAAGAAAAACAUAGCGAUUGUAAGGCAAGACUUGACAUUUCUAUUGUAUUUUCAUACUGCUUGCUAUCUAACAACGACUAAUACAACACAAAUAAGACAAAGUUUUAUAAGACCUUAAUGUUGAAACUACAUAGACAAUAAACAACACUAUGCUAGCGCAAUGACGAUAACAGACCUAAAGGACGGACUCGACAAAUAAUCAAAGACUAAUUACCUAAAGACAUACAUCGUACUUACAGAACACUAAGAUGUUUAAACUGAACUAAAACUUCAUCUUUAUUGACUGACUUGACUGACCAAAACACGUUCCUGAAAAUUUCCAAGAAGAUUAUGUGAGCUGAUUCCUACAGUCCGGUGUUUAUUUGGUCAACGUAGACUAAUUCUUCCGGCAUAAUCACUUGUUAAUUUUCAAAAAACCGACCCACCCCGAUCAUAGCAAUCCAAAGGGGCAAAAAAAUGUGUUAUGUCUGUUUGUGUCAAAAGUUUACACAGGAUUUUCAAUAAAAUUUGUUUUAGCCUAAAUAUCUGUUAUCUGUGGAAUUACUAAAGGAGUGUCCUUAGAAAUUAAAAGCCUAAUUUUCUAAAUUACAUUCCUGGAGGAAUUUUAUAAGGAAUGGUGUUCCGUACGGCAUUACUUAACCGUGUACGCCACAGUUGAAUCAUCCAACGCGAACGCAAUGUGUGUAUAUGCGUUUCAACAGGAAGAGAGAAGGACGAAAGAGAAAAUUUAGAAACGGCGCGAAAGCGUGCGCAACGGAAGGACAAGAACAUUUUGAAUCGUGUUUGCCUUCAUUUUAUACAUCACUCUCAGUC
Molecule: long non-coding RNA, 1275 nt
Organism: Armigeres subalbatus
Lineage: Eukaryota; Metazoa; Arthropoda; Insecta; Diptera; Culicidae
Exons: 4
Source: RefSeq, a predicted model, not a curated record